Molecule: long non-coding RNA, 727 nt
Filed under: Vulpes vulpes (red fox)
Lineage: Eukaryota; Metazoa; Chordata; Mammalia; Carnivora; Canidae
Description: lncRNA (ENSVVUG00000025485.1)
Source: RNAcentral
CAGGAAAGUUCCCUGCUGCCUUCCUUCUUUCACUCAGCAUCAUCUUAAUUAAGCAUCUCUAUUGUGAUGAAGCUUUAGGGGAUCACAUUCUUGUAUGGGUCUUCAGACAACAGAUUAUUACUACAAUAUGAUAAACCACCAGUUUACACUUAGCAACUUCUUUUUACUAAAUCCUUGAUCAUAGAUGGCUUUAUUGAAACUUCCUUUUUUUUGCAGUCUGGAUCCAGCUUCCAGUAAAGAACCUCGAGCCUAGACAGCUGUUCCAGGCAGACCAGGUGGCCUGGCUGCACACUGUCGUUGGCGGACUCAUCCCUGUACCAGGCCUGCACCAUGGCCAGAGCUGGGCCAGGACCCCAUGAGCACCUGCAUGCACGGCCUGCCCCAUCUUGCUGACCCUGCACUGCCAGCCCGAGGAAGAGCCCAUCUUUUACCUGUGCCCCAGAGAGGACAUCAAAAAGUACUGUUGGUGAUCUGGGCCUUCUGGUUUACUGACAACCAGUUCCAAGAGAAAAGAAAGCAGCAAGGCUACUGAACAGAUACCUGGCACGGUGCAUAAAUCCUGAGCAGUGAGCUUUGUGAUGACCUCUAAUCCCAUGGUAGCCGUCAAUGUCAUCCAUUCUCAAGGAAAGCUAGCAUUCUUACGCUUCAUUAGUGAAAACUGGAUUACCUAAUAUCCUGAAUUUUCUGCAUCCUGAAUGUCACAUUCAAGUUUUUGGCCCAGAGGAUC